CCUACGGGGGGCAGCAGUGGGGAAUAUUGGACAAUGGGCGAAAGCCUGAUCCAGCAAUGCCGCGUGUGUGAAGAAGGUCUUCGGAUCGUAAAGCACUUUCGACGGGGACGAUGAUGACGGUACCCGUAGAAGAAGCCCCGGCUAACUUCGUGCCAGCAGCCGCGGUAAUACGAAGGGGGCUAGCGUUGCUCGGAAUGACUGGGCGUAAAGGGCGCGUAGGCGGUUUAUGCAGUCAGAUGUGAAAUCCCCGGGCUUAACCUGGGGACUGCAUUUGAGACGCAUGGACUAGAGGUCGAGAGAGGGUUGUGGAAUUCCCAGUGUAGAGGUGAAAUUCGUAGAUGUUGGGAAGAACACCGGUGGCGAAGGCGGCAAUCUGGCUCGAUACUGACGCUGAGGCGCGAAAGCGUGGGGAGCAAACAGGAUUAGAUACCCGAGUAGUC
This 440-nucleotide ribosomal RNA is filed under the name uncultured bacterium. RNAcentral's name for it is "bacterial SSU rRNA". It matches the Rfam family "Bacterial small subunit ribosomal RNA", at positions 338 to 795 of the family's 1533-position model. The record is from RNAcentral.